Molecule: ribosomal RNA, 434 nt
Filed under: uncultured bacterium
Lineage: Bacteria
Description: partial 16S ribosomal RNA
Rfam family: Bacterial small subunit ribosomal RNA
Source: RNAcentral
AGCGAACGCUGGCGGCAGGCCUAACACAUGCAAGUCGAACGAACCUUUCGGGGUUAGUGGCGGACGGGUGAGUAACACGUGGGAACGUGCCUUUAGGUUCGGAAUAACUCAGGGAAACUUGUGCUAAUACCGAAUGUGCCCUUCGGGGGAAAGAUUAAUCGCCUUUAGAGCGGCCCGCGUCUGAUUAGCUAGUUGGUUGAGGUAAUGGCUCACCAAGGCGACGAUCAGUAGCUGGUCUGAGAGGAUGAUCAGCCACAUUGGGACUGAGACACGGCCCAAACUCCUACGGGAGGCAGCAGUGGGGAAUCUUGCGCAAUGGGCGAAAGCCUGACGCAGCCAUGCCGCGUGAAUGAUGAAGGUCUUAGGAUUGUAAAAUUCUUUCACCGGGGACGAUAAUUACGGUACCCGGAGAAGAAGCCCCGGCUAACUUCGUG